GGGAACCUCACCCGGCCCGGACACCGCGAGGAUUGACAGACUGAGAGCUCUUUCUCGAUUCGGUGGGUGGUGGUGCAUGGCCGUUCUUGGUUGGUGGAGCGAUCUGUCUGGUUAAUUCCGAUAACGAACGAGACCCCAACCUGCUAACUAGCCCUCGGGUCCUGCUUCUGUUGGGCCCGACGGAAUGAUUCGCUUCUUAGAGGGACUCGCGGCGCCUAGCCGCACGAAGGGGGGCGAUAA
This 240-nucleotide ribosomal RNA is filed under the name uncultured eukaryote. RNAcentral's name for it is "partial 18S ribosomal RNA". It matches the Rfam family "Eukaryotic small subunit ribosomal RNA", at positions 1208 to 1456 of the family's 1831-position model. The record is from RNAcentral.